AUUGAACGCUGGCGGCGUGCCUAACACAUGCAAGUCGAGCGGUAACAGGUGUAGCAAUACAUGCUGACGAGCGGCGAACGGGUGAGUAAUGCUUCGGAAUCUACCCAAUGGUGGGGAAUAACCAGCCGAAAGGUUGGCUAAUACCGCAUACGUCCCACGGGAGAAAGCAGGGGAUCGCAAGACCUUGCGCCAAUGGAUGAGCCGAAGUCGGAUUAGCUAGUUGGAGGGUAACGGCCUACCAAGGCGACGAUCCGUAGCUGGUCUGAGAGGACGACCAGCCACACUGGGACUGAGACACGGCCCAGACUCCUACGGGAGGCAGCAGUGGGGAAUAUUGGACAAUGGGGGAAACCCUGAUCCAGCGACGCCGCGUGUGUGAAGAAAGG
Molecule: ribosomal RNA, 386 nt
Filed under: uncultured bacterium
Lineage: Bacteria
Description: bacterial SSU rRNA
Rfam family: Bacterial small subunit ribosomal RNA
Source: RNAcentral